GCAAGUCGAGCGGGCCGAACGAGAGCUUGCUCUUGUUCGGUCAGCGGCGGACGGGUGAGUAACACGUGGGCAACCUGCCCGCAAGACCGGGAUAACUCCGGGAAACCGGAGCUAAUACCGGAUAACACCAAAGACCGCAUGGUCUUUGGUUGAAAGGCGGCUUCGGCUGUCACUUGCGGAUGGGCCCGCGGCGCAUUAGCUAGUUGGUGAGGUAACGGCUCACCAAGGCGACGAUGCGUAGCCGGCCUGAGAGGGUGACC
This 260-nucleotide ribosomal RNA is filed under the name uncultured bacterium. RNAcentral describes it as "partial 16S ribosomal RNA". It matches the Rfam family "Bacterial small subunit ribosomal RNA", at positions 57 to 305 of the family's 1533-position model. The record is from RNAcentral.